This 378-nucleotide ribosomal RNA is filed under the name uncultured eukaryote. RNAcentral describes it as "partial 18S ribosomal RNA". It matches the Rfam family "Eukaryotic small subunit ribosomal RNA", at positions 592 to 975 of the family's 1831-position model. The record is from RNAcentral.
CAAUAGCGUAUAUUUAAGUUGUUGCAGUUAAAAAGCUCGUAGUUGGAUUUCGGAUGGGACUUGCCGGUCCGUCGUUUCGAUGUGCACUGGCCAGUCCUAUCUUGUUGUCGGGGACUAGCUCCUGGGCUUCACUGUCCGGGACUAGGAGCUGACGAGGUUGCUUUGAGUAAAUUAGAGUGUUCAAAGCAAGCCUACGCUCUGAAUACAUUAGCAUGGAAUAACACGAUAGGACUCUGGCUUAUCUUGUUGGUCUGUGAGACCAGAGUAAUGAUUAAGAGGGACAGUCGGGGGCAUUCGUAUUUCAUUGUCAGAGGUGAAAUUCUUGGAUUUAUGAAAGACGAACUUCUGCGAAAGCAUUUGUCAAGGAUGUUUUCAUUA